Molecule: ribosomal RNA, 460 nt
Filed under: uncultured bacterium
Lineage: Bacteria
Description: partial 16S ribosomal RNA
Rfam family: Bacterial small subunit ribosomal RNA
Source: RNAcentral
CCUACGGGGGGCAGCAGUGAGGAAUAUUGGUCAAUGGACGAGAGUCUGAACCAGCCAAGUAGCGUGAAGGAUGACUGCCCUAUGGGUUGUAAACUUCUUUUAUAUGGGAAUAAAAUGUUCCACGUGUGGGAUUUUGUAUGUACCAUAUGAAUAAGGAUCGGCUAACUCCGUGCCAGCAGCCGCGGUAAUACGGAGGAUCCGAGCGUUAUCUGGAUUUAUUGGGUUUAAAGGGAGCGUAGGUGGAUUGUUAAGUCAGUUGUGAAAGUUUGCGGCUCAACCGUAAAAUUGCAGUUGAAACUGGCAGUCUUGAGUACAGUAGAGGUGGGCGGAAUUCGUGGUGUAGCGGUGAAAUGCUUAGAUAUCACGAAGAACUCCGAUUGCGAAGGCAGUUCACUGGACUGCAACUGACACUGAGGCUCGAAAGUGUGGGUAUCAAACAGGAUUAGAUACCCCUGUAGUC